CCUACGGGAGGCAGCAGUAGGGAAUAUUGGGCAAUGGUCGCGAGACUGACCCAGCCAUGCCGCGUGAAGGAAGAAGGUUUCUGAGUUGUAAACUUCUUUUAUCUGGGAAUAGGUACCAGAUGAAUAAGCACCGGCUAACUCCGUGCCAGCAGCCGCGGUAAUACGGAGGGUGCAAGCGUUGUCCGGAUUUAUUGGGUUUAAAGGGUGCGUAGGCGGUUUGAUAAGUCAGUGUUUAAAGUCUGCAGCUUAACUGUAGGAAUGGCAUUGAUACUGUUGAACUUGAGUAAAGUUGAGGUAGGCGGAAUUGAAGGUGUAGCGGUGAAAUGCUUAGAUAUCUUCAAGAACACCAAUUGCGAAGGCAGCUUACUAACUUAACUGACGCUGAGGCACGAAAGCGUGGGGAUCAAACAGGAUUAGAUACCCUGGUAGUC
Molecule: ribosomal RNA, 431 nt
Filed under: uncultured bacterium
Lineage: Bacteria
Description: partial 16S ribosomal RNA
Rfam family: Bacterial small subunit ribosomal RNA
Source: RNAcentral